GGGUUGUGAGGUUAAGCGACUAAGCGUACACGGUGGAUGCCCUGGCAGUCAGAGGCGAUGAAGGACGUGCUAAUCUGCGAUAAGCGUCGGUAAGGUGAUAUGAACCGUUAUAACCGGCGAUUUCCGAAUGGGGAAACCCAGUGUGUUUCGACACACUAUCAUUAACUGAAUCCAUAGGUUAAUGAGGCGAACCGGGGGAACUGAAACAUCUAAGUACCCCGAGGAAAAGAAAUCAACCGAGAUUCCCCCAGUAGCGGCGAGCGAACGGGGAGCAGCCCAGAGCCUGAAUCAGUGUGUGUGUUAGUGGAAGCGUCUGGAAAGGCGCGCGAUACAGGGUGACAGCCCCGUACACAAAAAUGCACAUAUUGUGAGCUCGAUGAGUAGGGCGGGACACGUGGUAUCCUGUCUGAAUAUGGGGGGACCAUCCUCCAAGGCUAAAUACUCCUGACUGACCGAUAGUGAACCAGUACCGUGAGGGAAAGGCGAAAAGAACCCCGGCGAGGGGAGUGAAAAAGAACCUGAAACCGUGUACGUACAAGCAGUGGGAGCACGCUUAGGCGUGUGACUGCGUACCUUUUGUAUAAUGGGUCAGCGACUUAUAUUCUGUAGCAAGGUUAACCGAAUAGGGGAGCCGAAGGGAAACCGAGUCUUAACUGGGCGUUAAGUUGCAGGGUAUAGACCCGAAACCCGGUGAUCUAGCCAUGGGCAGGUUGAAGGUUGGGUAACACUAACUGGAGGACCGAACCGACUAAUGUUGAAAAAUUAGCGGAUGACUUGUGGCUGGGGGUGAAAGGCCAAUCAAACCGGGAGAUAGCUGGUUCUCCCCGAAAGCUAUUUAGGUAGCGCCUCGUGAAUUCAUCUCCGGGGGUAGAGCACUGUUUCGGCAAGGGGGUCAUCCCGACUUACCAACCCGAUGCAAACUGCGAAUACCGGAGAAUGUUAUCACGGGAGACACACGGCGGGUGCUAACGUCCGUCGUGAAGAGGGAAACAACCCAGACCGCCAGCUAAGGUCCCAAAGUCAUGGUUAAGUGGGAAACGAUGUGGGAAGGCCCAGACAGCCAGGAUGUUGGCUUAGAAGCAGCCAUCAUUUAAAGAAAGCGUAAUAGCUCACUGGUCGAGUCGGCCUGCGCGGAAGAUGUAACGGGGCUAAACCAUGCACCGAAGCUGCGGCAGCGACACUGUGUGUUGUUGGGUAGGGGAGCGUUCUGUAAGCCUGUGAAGGUGUGCUGUGAGGCAUGCUGGAGGUAUCAGAAGUGCGAAUGCUGACAUAAGUAACGAUAAAGCGGGUGAAAAGCCCGCUCGCCGGAAGACCAAGGGUUCCUGUCCAACGUUAAUCGGGGCAGGGUGAGUCGACCCCUAAGGCGAGGCCGAAAGGCGUAGUCGAUGGGAAACAGGUUAAUAUUCCUGUACUUGGUGUUACUGCGAAGGGGGGACGGAGAAGGCUAUGUUGGCCGGGCGACGGUUGUCCCGGUUUAAGCGUGUAGGCUGGUUUUCCAGGCAAAUCCGGAAAAUCAAGGCUGAGGCGUGAUGACGAGGCACUACGGUGCUGAAGCAACAAAUGCCCUGCUUCCAGGAAAAUCCUCUAAGCAUCAGGUAACAUCAAAUCGUACCCCAAACCGACACAGGUGGUCAGGUAGAGAAUACCAAGGCGCUUGAGAGAACUCGGGUGAAGGAACUAGGCAAAAUGGUGCCGUAACUUCGGGAGAAGGCACGCUGAUAUGUAGGUGAAGCGACUUGCUCGUGGAGCUGAAAUCAGUCGAAGAUACCAGCUGGCUGCAACUGUUUAUUAAAAACACAGCACUGUGCAAACACGAAAGUGGACGUAUACGGUGUGACGCCUGCCCGGUGCCGGAAGGUUAAUUGAUGGGGUCAGCGCAAGCGAAGCUCUUGAUCGAAGCCCCGGUAAACGGCGGCCGUAACUAUAACGGUCCUAAGGUAGCGAAAUUCCUUGUCGGGUAAGUUCCGACCUGCACGAAUGGCGUAAUGAUGGCCAGGCUGUCUCCACCCGAGACUCAGUGAAAUUGAACUCGCUGUGAAGAUGCAGUGUACCCGCGGCAAGACGGAAAGACCCCGUGAACCUUUACUAUAGCUUGACACUGAACAUUGAGCCUUGAUGUGUAGGAUAGGUGGGAGGCUUAGAAGUGUGGACGCCAGUCUGCAUGGAGCCGACCUUGAAAUACCACCCUUUAAUGUUUGAUGUUCUAACGUUGACCCGUAAUCCGGGUUGCGGACAGUGUCUGGUGGGUAGUUUGACUGGGGCGGUCUCCUCCUAAAGAGUAACGGAGGAGCACGAAGGUUGGCUAAUCCUGGUCGGACAUCAGGAGGUUAGUGCAAUGGCAUAAGCCAGCUUGACUGCGAGCGUGACGGCGCGAGCAGGUGCGAAAGCAGGUCAUAGUGAUCCGGUGGUUCUGAAUGGAAGGGCCAUCGCUCAACGGAUAAAAGGUACUCCGGGGAUAACAGGCUGAUACCGCCCAAGAGUUCAUAUCGACGGCGGUGUUUGGCACCUCGAUGUCGGCUCAUCACAUCCUGGGGCUGAAGUAGGUCCCAAGGGUAUGGCUGUUCGCCAUUUAAAGUGGUACGCGAGCUGGGUUUAGAACGUCGUGAGACAGUUCGGUCCCUAUCUGCCGUGGGCGCUGGAGAACUGAGGGGGGCUGCUCCUAGUACGAGAGGACCGGAGUGGACGCAUCACUGGUGUUCGGGUUGUCAUGCCAAUGGCACUGCCCGGUAGCUAAAUGCGGAAGAGAUAAGUGCUGAAAGCAUCUAAGCACGAAACUUGCCCCGAGAUGAGUUCUCCCUGACCCUUUAAGGGUCCUGAAGGAACGUUGAAGACGACGACGUUGAUAGGCCGGGUGUGUAAGCGCAGCGAUGCGUUGAGCUAACCGGUACUAAUGAACCGUGAGGCUUAACCUUACAACGCCGAAG
RNAcentral lists this ribosomal RNA (2924 nucleotides) under Escherichia coli. RNAcentral's name for it is "bacterial LSU rRNA". It matches the Rfam family "Bacterial large subunit ribosomal RNA". The record is from RNAcentral. Lineage: Bacteria; Pseudomonadati; Pseudomonadota; Gammaproteobacteria; Enterobacterales; Enterobacteriaceae.